GACGAACGCUGGCGGCGUGCUUAACACAUGCAAGUUGAACGGAAAGGCCCUGCUUUUGUGGGGUGCUCGAGUGGCGAACGGGUGAGUAACACGUGAGUAACCUGCCCUUGACUUUGGGAUAACUUCAGGAAACUGGGGCUAAUACCGGAUAGGAGCUCCUGCUGCAUGGUGGGGGUUGGAAAGUUUCGGCGGUUGGGGAUGGACUCGCGGCUUAUCAGCUUGUUGGUGGGGUAGUGGCUUACCAAGGCUUUGACGGGUAGCCGGCCUGAGAGGGUGACCGGCCACAUUGGGACUGAGAUACGGCCCAGACUCCUACGGGAGGCAGCAGUGGGGAAUAUUGCACAAUGGGCGGAAGCCUGAUGCAGCAACGCCGCGUGCGGGAUGACGGCCUUCGGGGUGUAAACCGCUUUCGCCUGUGACGAAGCGUGAGUGACGGUAAUGGGUAAAGAAGCACCGGCUAACUACGUG
This 468-nucleotide ribosomal RNA is filed under the name uncultured bacterium. RNAcentral's name for it is "partial 16S ribosomal RNA". It matches the Rfam family "Bacterial small subunit ribosomal RNA", at positions 28 to 507 of the family's 1533-position model. The record is from RNAcentral.